This 232-nucleotide long non-coding RNA is filed under the name Vigna radiata. RNAcentral's name for it is "long non-coding RNA (VRAD_LNC004024)". Lineage: Eukaryota; Viridiplantae; Streptophyta; Magnoliopsida; Fabales; Fabaceae. The record is from RNAcentral.
UGGGAGCCUUGACUGCUCUCCGAGACUGGAGCAAGUUAACUUGACAUAUAAUAGAAUAAAUUCAUGUAGGUUCCCACCACUCUAGACGAGGCCGAUCUUCUCAACAUCAAACUUGAAUGGUGAAGGUCAACCCUGGUGAAGGAUGAGAGGUCGAUCUCUUCAUCACUAAACUCAAAAGGACCAAAGCAAGUCAACUCAACUCAAAACGAAGGAGACUCAUGGCACUUCCGCC